RNAcentral lists this ribosomal RNA (500 nucleotides) under uncultured bacterium. RNAcentral's name for it is "partial 16S ribosomal RNA". It matches the Rfam family "Bacterial small subunit ribosomal RNA", at positions 30 to 523 of the family's 1533-position model. The record is from RNAcentral.
AUUGAACGCUGGCGGAAUGCUUUACACAUGCAAGUCGAACGGCAGCACGGACUUCGGUCUGGUGGCGAGUGGCGAACGGGUGAGUAAUGUAUCGGAACGUGCCCAGUCGUGGGGGAUAACGUAGUGAAAAUUACGCUAAUACCGCAUACGAUCGAUGGAUGAAAGCGGGGGAUCGCAAGACCUCGCGCGAUUGGAGCGGCCGAUAUCAGAUUAGGUAGUUGGUGGGGUAAAGGCCCACCAAGCCAACGAUCUGUAGCUGGUCUGAGAGGACGACCAGCCACGCUGGAACUGAGACACGGUUCAGACUCCUACGGGAGGCAGCAGUGGGGAAUUUUGGACAAUGGGCGAAAGCCUGAUCCAGCCAUUCCGCGUGCAGGAUGAAGGCCCUCGGGUUGUAAACUGCUUUUGUACAGAACGAAAAGGUUUCUACUAAUACUAGGAGCUCAUGACGGUGCUGUAAGAAUAAGCACCGGCUAACUACGUGCCAGCCGCCGCAGUAA